Molecule: ribosomal RNA, 523 nt
Filed under: uncultured bacterium
Lineage: Bacteria
Description: bacterial SSU rRNA
Rfam family: Bacterial small subunit ribosomal RNA
Source: RNAcentral
AGAGUUUGAUCCUGGCUCAGAUUGAACGCUGGCGGCAUGCCUUACACAUGCAAGUCGAACGGCAGCACGGGGGCAACCCUGGUGGCGAGUGGCGAACGGGUGAGUAAUACAUCGGAACGUGUCCUAGAGUGGGGGAUAGCCCGGCGAAAGCCGGAUUAAUACCGCAUACGCUCGAGAGAGGAAAGCGGGGGAUCUUCGGACCUCGCGCUCAAGGGGCGGCCGAUGGCGGAUUAGCUAGUUGGUAGGGUAAAGGCCUACCAAGGCGACGAUCCGUAGCUGGUCUGAGAGGACGACCAGCCACACUGGGACUGAGACACGGCCCAGACUCCUACGGGAGGCAGCAGUGGGGAAUUUUGGACAAUGGGGGCAACCCUGAUCCGGCAAUGCCGCGUGUGUGAAGAAGGCCUUCGGGUUGUAAAGCACUUUUGUCCGGAAAGAAAUCCUCUGCCCUAAUAUGGCGGGGGGAUGACGGUACCGGAAGAAUAAGCACCGGCUAACUACGUGCCAGCCGCCGCGGUAAUAC